UACAGAGACUGCAAGCGUUAUCCGGAUUCACUGGGUUUAAAGGGUGCGUAGGUGGGUUGGUAAGUCAGUGGUGAAAUCUCCGGGCUUAACUCGGAAACUGCCGUUGAUACUAUCAAUCUUGAAUAUUGUGGAGGUAAGCGGAAUAUGUCAUGUAGCGGUGAAAUGCUUAGAUAUGACAUAGAACACCGAUAGCGAAGGCAGCUUGCUACACAAUUAUUGACACUGAGGCACGAAAGCGUGGGGAUCAAACAGG
This 253-nucleotide ribosomal RNA is filed under the name uncultured bacterium. Its description in RNAcentral is "partial 16S ribosomal RNA". It matches the Rfam family "Bacterial small subunit ribosomal RNA", at positions 524 to 776 of the family's 1533-position model. The record is from RNAcentral.